AGUGAACGCUGGCGGUAGGCCUAACACAUGCAAGUCGAACGGCAGCACAGUAAGAGCUUGCUCUUACGGGUGGCGAGUGGCGGACGGGUGAGGAAUACAUCGGAAUCUACUUUUUCGUGGGGGAUAACGUAGGGAAACUUACGCUAAUACCGCAUACGACCUACGGGUGAAAGCAGGGGAUCUUCGGACCUUGCGCGAUUGAAUGAGCCGAUGUCGGAUUAGCUAGUUGGCGGGGUAAAGGCCCACCAAGGCGACGAUCCGUAGCUGGUCUGAGAGGAUGAUCAGCCACACUGGAACUGAGACACGGUCCAGACUCCUACGGAGGCAGCAGUGGGGAAUAUUGGACAAUGGGCGCAAGCCUGAUCCAGCCAUACCGCGUGGGUGAAGAAGGCCUUCGGGUUGUAAAGCCCUUUUGUUGGGAAAGAAAAGCAGCAGGUUAAUACCCCGCUGUUCUGACGGUACCCGAAGAAUAAGCACCGGCUAACUUCGUG
Molecule: ribosomal RNA, 491 nt
Filed under: uncultured bacterium
Lineage: Bacteria
Description: partial 16S ribosomal RNA
Rfam family: Bacterial small subunit ribosomal RNA
Source: RNAcentral